Molecule: long non-coding RNA, 1428 nt
Organism: Mesocricetus auratus (golden hamster)
Lineage: Eukaryota; Metazoa; Chordata; Mammalia; Rodentia; Cricetidae
Exons: 2
Source: RefSeq, a predicted model, not a curated record
AGAGAGAGAGAGAGAGAGAGAGAGAGAGAGAGAGAGAGAGAGAGAGAGAGGCUUUCUCUCGACUGGGCUAGUACCAGUUUCCAUGUACAUUUGUUGUUAAGCAGAGCUUUAGCUCAAGGGUCCUGUGAGGUAUGAAUGAAGGAAAUCGGAAAUUAACUCUUCUCUCAGUGGACAAUGGAUGGCAGUUCAUGGCCGGAGAGUUGCAUUGUGUGACUCUUCCCAAAUUCAUUUGUGAGGUCCUCACCUCCAAGUGCCCCACAGAAUGGCUCUGUUUAGAAAGAAAGUCCUCACUGAUGCAACUGAGGUUCGGUAGGAGUCAACACAACUGUGCCUUAUAAAAAGGAAUGAUCACAAAGGAAUGAUACUGUGUAUGAUGAGCGUGGGGAAAGUUUCGUAAGCCUAAGCGCGCCAGUUGAUAUCAGCAAGCCACCAGACGCAAGACAGGCGGGCCCUGCCAACACCUUUAUUGGGAACUUCCAGCCUCCUAAACGGUGGGAGAACAGACCUCUCUUGUUUGAGCCAUUCAGCUUGUGGCCCCUUUGUUACAACAUCCUCAGCAAACUAACGCAGGCUGCAGCCAUGCCCGGCCAUCUUGGAGAACUAGGUUCUGUGUGCUGAAGAUAAAUAUGUCCGUUUGCCCACUUAAACAACUUCCGCCACAGCCACUUCUAGACAAAUAGAAGAGUGUGGCAUUAGCACCGGGCGUCCUGGGAUGCGUCUGGGCACAUCCCCUCGGCAGUUUUCAGGGGUAUGGGAAAUGUCUAGGAGAGGUACGAGACUGUCAGCUCCCUCCACCAUUACCGCUACGGCUCUGCUAUUUCCACCCUUGCUUCCAACAUGCGUGUUUCCCAUCAAACACUCACAGCGACGCUUCUGGAGUGAGUAUCGAAGAGGAGUCACCCAGAGGAGGGCCGCAGAAAGGCUCUGCAGUUUACGCUCCAUCUGCUCCCUUUGCAUCUCAUGUUCCAACUCCCGAGGCUUUCCCAGAUCCUCCCGGCCACAGCAGCCUGUCUCUCAGAGUCUCCUCUGCGGUCUCCGGUUCCUCUUCGCCGCGGUCUUUCCACACGGAGGCUCCGGGCUACGCCCACCUGGCGGAGACUCGAGGUGGGGCUGGGAAUUGCCCUGCCUGCCCAUCUUCAAGUCAGGGUUGAGGGAAAGUUUGCCUUUUAUGAAGACCGCCCUCUGAGAGGCCUGAACUCUGGAACGAUGAGCGCCUGGAGGCAUUUCUUUAGCACCUACUGUGUGCCAAACACUGCCUGAGUUACAUUUAAUUUGAAAAGUAGGUAUUCUUGUCCUCACUUAAGAAGCAAGAAAACUGAAACUAGGCAGGGUUCCGCAAGUAAUUUGUAUUACUUCAUCCCCUCGGAAACUGGAAGGCACUGGAUAAGAGUCCAUUCCUAUGCAGCCUCAACGUGGUGGUGACGGCCA